GGAGGGGUGUCCGAAUGGCUAAGGAACCGGUCUUGAAAACCGGCGCGCGCAAGCGUAUGUGGGUUCGAGUCCCACCCCCUCCG
Molecule: transfer RNA, 83 nt
Filed under: Gemmatimonadota bacterium
Lineage: Bacteria; Pseudomonadati; Gemmatimonadota
Also listed under: 4 other names
Description: Gemmatimonadetes bacterium (beach sand metagenome) tRNA-Ser
Rfam family: tRNA
About the family: Transfer RNA (tRNA) molecules are approximately 80 nucleotides in length. Their secondary structure includes four short double-helical elements and three loops (D, anti-codon, and T loops).
Source: RNAcentral